GUUUUCGGACCUAGAGACCGGCGCACGGGUGCGUAACGCGUAUGCAAUCUACCUUUUACAGAGGGAUAGCCCAGAGAAAUUUGGAUUAAUACCUCAUAGUAUUAUUGAAUGGCAUCAUUUAAUAAUUAAAGUCACAACGGUAAAAGAUGAGCAUGCGUCCCAUUAGCUAGUUGGUAAGGUAACGGCUUACCAAGGCAACGAUGGGUAGGGGUCCUGAGAGGGAGAUCCCCCACACUGGUACUGAGACACGGACCAAACUCCUACGGGAGGCAGCAGUGAGGAAUAUUGGUCAAUGGGCGCAAGCCUGAACCAGCCAUGCCGCGUGCAAGAUGACAGUCCUAUGGAUUGUAAACUGCUUUUGCACAAGAAGAAACACUCGGACGUGUCCGAGCUUGACGGUACUGUGAGAAUAAGGAUCGGCUAACUCCGUGCCAGCAGCCGCGGUAAUACGGAGGAUCCAAGCGUUAUCCGGAAUCAUUGGGUUUAAAGGGUCCGUAGGCGGUUUUGUAAGUCAGUGGUGAAAGCCCAUCGCUCAACGGUGGAACGGCCAUUGAAACUGCAAGACUUGAAUUAUUAGGAAGUAAC
Molecule: ribosomal RNA, 585 nt
Filed under: uncultured bacterium
Lineage: Bacteria
Description: bacterial SSU rRNA
Rfam family: Bacterial small subunit ribosomal RNA
Source: RNAcentral